AACGAACGCUGGCGGCAGGCCUAACACAUGCAAGUCGAACGCCCCGCAAGGGGAGUGGCAGACGGGUGAGUAACGCGUGGGAACCUUCCCAAAGGUGCGGAAUAGCUCAGGGAAACUUGGGGUAAUACCGCAUAAUGCCGAGAGGCCAAAGAUUUAUCGCCUUUGGAUGGGCCCGCGUCGGAUUAGCUAGUUGGUGAGGUAACGGCUCACCAAGGCGACGAUCCGUAGCUGGUUUGAGAGAAUGACCAGCCACACCGGGACUGAGACACGGCCCAGCCUCCUACGGGAGGCAGCAGUGGGGAAUCUUGGACAAUGGGCGCAAGCCUGAUCCAGCCAUGCCGCGUGAGUGACGAAGGCCUUAGGGUUGUAAAGCUCUUUUGCCGGGGACGAUAAUGACGGUACCCGGAGAAUAAGUCCCGACUAACUUCGUGCCAGCCGCCGCAGUAA
This 447-nucleotide ribosomal RNA is filed under the name uncultured bacterium. RNAcentral describes it as "partial 16S ribosomal RNA". It matches the Rfam family "Bacterial small subunit ribosomal RNA", at positions 29 to 523 of the family's 1533-position model. The record is from RNAcentral.